GAUGAACGCUGGCGGCGUGCCUAAUACAUGCAAGUCGAGCGAAAAGACGCGGAGCUUGCUCCUCUGACGUUAGCGGCGGACGGGUGAGUCACACGUGGAUAACCUACCUCUAAGACUGGGAUAACUUCGGGAAACCGGAGCUCAUACCGGAUAACAUCUUGAACCGCAUGGUUCAAUAGUGAAAGACGGUUUUGCUGUCCCCGAUAGAUGGAUCCGCGCUGCAUUAGCUAGUUGGUAAGGUAACGGCUUACCAAGGCGGCGAUGCGUAGCCGACCUGGGAGGGUGAUCGGCCACUCUGGAGCUGAGACGCGGUCCAGACUCCUACGGGAGGCAGCAGUAGGUAAUCUUGCGCGAUGGGCGAAAGCCUGACGGAUCAGCGCCGCGUGAGUGAUGAGGGGCUUCGUGUCGUAAGACUCUGUUAUGGUGGAAAAACAAAUGUGUAAGGAACUAUGCACGUCUGGACGGUACCUAAUCAGAGAGCCACGGCUAACUACGUG
RNAcentral lists this ribosomal RNA (497 nucleotides) under uncultured bacterium. RNAcentral describes it as "partial 16S ribosomal RNA". It matches the Rfam family "Bacterial small subunit ribosomal RNA", at positions 28 to 507 of the family's 1533-position model. The record is from RNAcentral.